Non-coding RNA from Misgurnus anguillicaudatus (oriental weatherfish), 910 nucleotides. The record is from RefSeq and is a predicted model, not a curated record. Lineage: Eukaryota; Metazoa; Chordata; Actinopteri; Cypriniformes; Cobitidae.
AUUUCUUCUCGACUGAACAAAGAAAGACAUCAACAUUUUGGAUGACAUGGUGGUGAGUAAAUUAUCUGGAUUUUUCUUUUAAGAAAAUGGACUAAUCCUUUAACGAAAGGCUUGUCUGAAGCGUGGCCAACAGCCAAUCACAGUGGCCGCUACACAUGCUCCGUUCUCCCAUAAACAUAAUUGCCUGUCUCUGUCUAGGUAAUUUGCAUAAGGCGAUCUGAUUGGCUGACGCACACGUUGCCGCUUGAAAAGUUGAGAAAUGUUCAACUUCUGCCGUGAGCAAUGGCACUGACGCUGCACCGACGGAUCCACUAUUCAGUUCGGCAAUGCAUGACGUCACCCAUUAAAAGUCAAUGGGAAGCGUUAACCCUUACGUCCCGUGUGACUGCAUCGUUAAAGAGGAGGAAGGUGGCGUUGUCACGUUUUCGCAUGGUUUUAGACACGACAUGUGAAGCAAAUGAGCAUAUGUGCUUGGACAUUUUGGUGGGUGCUCAAGCCGAGCCCUGGAGCACUCACGGGAACGGCGUCUAUGUGUGUGUUUAUUGUAGCACUUCCAUCCUUGAAACAAGAACACCAUCCAGAGGCGAACGCAACUGUGAAUUUCACCGUAUUCUCCAUGAACGCCACCUGGAUGACAGUUGCUUUCAGUGGUACUUGAGGAUGACGGCUGCAGUUUGAUAGCCUGCUAGCUUUGACCGAUUGUAGGAUUGCUCAUAUGGACACUAACUACAGAAAUUCCGUCUCAGCUGCGGAGCGCCUGUCCAUCUGUCUCAGGUCAGGAGCCGUUACAUAAUUAAUUCUCAUUACCAAUUAAUAUACAACCUAUUAAACAACUCUUCUUACGUGUUGCGGUCUCCACAGUCUUCAAGAUUGUCCCAGAUGUUGGACAAUAGAUUGCUAUGGAUUUAGU